UCCUACGGGGGGCAGCAGUGGGGGAUAUUGCACAAUGGGGGAAACCCUGAUGCAGCAACGCCGCGUGAGUGAAGAAGUAUUUCGGUAUGUAAAGCUCUAUCAGCAGGGAAGAAGAUGACGGUACCUGACUAAGAAGCCCCGGCUAACUACGUGCCAGCAGCCGCGGUAAUACGUAGGGGGCAAGCGUUAUCCGGAUUUACUGGGUGUAAAGGGAGCGUAGACGGCGAUGCAAGUCUGAAGUGAAAGGCGGGGGCCCAACCCCCGGACUGCUUUGGAAACUGUAUGGCUGGAGUGCAGGAGGGGCA
Molecule: ribosomal RNA, 305 nt
Filed under: uncultured bacterium
Lineage: Bacteria
Description: partial 16S ribosomal RNA
Rfam family: Bacterial small subunit ribosomal RNA
Source: RNAcentral